GACGAACGCUGGCGGCGUGCUUAACACAUGCAAGUCGAACGGUAAGGCCCUUCGGGGUACACGAGUGGCGAACGGGUGAGUAACACGUGGGUGAUCUGCCCUGCACUUCGGGAUAAGCCUGGGAAACUGGGUCUAAUACCGGAUAGGACCACUGCCUGCAUGGGUGGUGGUGGAAAGUUUUUGCGGUGUGGGAUGGGCCCGCGGCCUAUCAGCUUGUUUGUGGGGUGAUGGCCUACCAAGGCGAGGACGGGUAGCCGGCCUGGGAGGGUGACCGGCCACACUGGGACUGAGAUACGGUCCAGACUCCUACGGGGGGCAGCAGUGGGGAAUAUUGCACAAUGGGCGCAAGCCUGAUGCAGCGACGCCGCGUGAGGGAUGACGGCCUUCGGGUUGUAAACCUCUUUCAGCACCGACGAAGCGCAAGUGACGGUAGGUGCAGAAGAAGGACCGGCCAACUACGUGCCAGCAGCCGCAGUAA
This 478-nucleotide ribosomal RNA is filed under the name uncultured bacterium. RNAcentral's name for it is "partial 16S ribosomal RNA". It matches the Rfam family "Bacterial small subunit ribosomal RNA", at positions 28 to 523 of the family's 1533-position model. The record is from RNAcentral.